GGGAUAUUAGUUUAAAUGGGAGAGUAUUGAUCUGUCUAAUCAAAAGUUGCAGGUUCGAAUCCUGUAUAUCUCG
This 73-nucleotide transfer RNA is filed under the name Sphaerothecum destruens. RNAcentral describes it as "tRNA-Asp". It matches the Rfam family "tRNA". From Rfam's summary of the family: Transfer RNA (tRNA) molecules are approximately 80 nucleotides in length. The record is from RNAcentral. Lineage: Eukaryota; Ichthyosporea; Dermocystida.